Prinia subflava (tawny-flanked prinia) is the source of this 2400-nucleotide long non-coding RNA. RefSeq lists it as uncharacterized. NCBI's taxonomy places the organism in Eukaryota, Metazoa, Chordata, Aves, Passeriformes, Cisticolidae. The transcript has 4 exons. The record is from RefSeq and is a predicted model, not a curated record.
CUGUAGGAAGUGGGUAUAAAAUACGGUCACCAUUCAGAAUGAAACUGUAAGAAACCCAGGCUUUUUUGUGCUCAGGCUACUCACAAUUCUUAGGCUGUCCUUGAAGUGCUGCUUCAUGGGACUUUCCGUGUCUUGGUUCUCCAACGAGUCCCAAAAGUACAGCAAAAGCUCCAGGGAAAAAAAAGAGGACAGCAGGGUAGUUGUACUCAGAGGACCUAAUUCCUGUUAUCCACAGAAUUCAUUUUAUUAUCUCUCUGUGCCUGUAUCUUUCUCUAUUCUUGGUCUGCUUAGACUGAACCUUCUCAGAAACACCAGUCACAUUUGGGUAUCAUCGCUGCCAUCUGUCAAUAAAACUCUUCUCAGCUUUGAAAAGUGAGCGGGACACUAUAGGCAGGUGUUUAGAUAAGGAUUUGGAACUAUGGAGUUCACAUCUCAGGUGCAGCACAAGGUUCCUGCAUGAGCUUAAACAGGCCUUGAGCUGGGCUUCCAGUCCCUACGUGGAAAACAAGGAGUUUUGUUCACUUUCUGUGUCUUGCCUAGUUGGGUUUGAAAUUCUGUGGUGCACAGACCUCUAACAAAGAUAUUUAUCUACAUGCAGGACCAGGAACAGAGGGAACUGAGGCAAAGUCUCUGCCAUGAGGCUGUUUUACAGCUACUGGUUAGGAGUUUUGCCCAGGGCUGAAGAUUUGCACAUUGAUUAGCAUCUUUUUUCCCAAGCCUGGAAGACAAGGCAGCUUUGGAAUUCAAAACCUCAUCCAGGUUCACCAAUGCUACUAAACUUUUUUUUUUUUUUGUAAGGCUGCCUCUUUAGACAAUGAGACAAUGUGAAAUUAGAUUAACUUAACCUCUUUCUGUAUUUUGCUAUCAGAACUUUACAGAGCUCAGAUUUUGACUUUACAUCCAUGACAGAUAAAAUUACCAGUCUGGAUUCCUUACUGCAGUGAACAUUUUGGCAGAACUGCUGUCCAGGUAUGGAUUCCUGGAUUUAGUCCCUGCUGUGCUCACUCUUAAGCUGUGUUACACACAGACCAGUGGGGGCAGAAGGAGAUUCUGGCAUGGAGUCUGUUUUCAAAUCACCCCAUAAACACAGAAUUUUUUACCCCACAGCCAAUCCUUUUGCUCAAAAACAGAACCUUGCAAUUCAACAAAUCUAACAGCAAAACUCCACACAGGAAAAUUCCAGUUGAAGCUUAGGUAGCAGUUGUUAUUCCCUCUUCUCCCGAGCCUUAGAAAUUGCCCUUCUCUUCCCACUGCAGAGAGACCUCCUUUUAAGUGCAUUUCCCUAAGGAAAUGAGAAUGUGUGUCUACUUAAUUUCAAAAAGACUGCACAGGGCUGUGUUUUGGAAAUUUUCUAAUCUGAUGAUGAGCUGCAGUCCCUCUCCCUGUGCUGCAGACACUGUACCAAAACAAACCAAGCUUUCGCUGACACUCUUUGCUCUCCAAGUGGAUUCUCACUUGCAGGAAGGAUCAACACAUCUCCCACUACAAAAAGCCAACAGGACUUCAUGGGUGAGGAACUUCCUGAGGCCCCUUCCUGAAGAAAGUUUUGGCUGCAGAAGGAUGGUUAGGACUUUUUGAUGAUGGAAAUUUGAGGCACCUGAAGCCCACCUGAAGCUUGGCCCAAGGACAUUGUCAGGCACACAGAUCCAGUGAUAGGGAGAAAAAACAUCUGGCUGGGGCUCAAACAAGUGUCUCGGAAACAAGUGUCUCAUGUGUCUCAAGACAAGGAAUUAAGAAAAAUAUUCCAUUAACAAGAGGUGCUUUGCAGACACAUGCUUCAAACAUCAACAUAAAGAUUAUCUGGUGAUGAACAACCCCAGAGACCAACUUCAGAUCUUCUGAUAAUCAAACCAGCCUGAGGCUUGAUUCACAAGGGAAUAAUUCACACUGAAGCUCAGGGAGAGCCUGAGGCUAAAUAUGUUGAGAUAUGAAGAACACACAUGUAUUUUCCCCCUGCUGUUUUUACUGCCACAGCCCUUGGCUUGUUUGAGAAGUGAGCACAGGACUUGUGAAGCCAACUUUGUCUUCUGCCAAGGAAGGGGCUCUCCUUGCUCCCACCCUCCAAGCCUGAGGUCAGACCCCACUGAUGUCACAGCUCCUCGAUGGGGGAUGAAAACGUCUAGCAACAAAAAAUCCAGUUGAUACAUUAAAGUAUACGUAACUGGAGGUGAAGAUGUUGAUUUCUUCAGUGAGCUUGUGUUGCUCAGGACUUUCUGUUCUUAAAUCAUUAUGCAGUUGUUGGUGCUGUGCUGUGUUCGUUCCCUGUUGAGCCAUACCCGACUGAGGUCAACCCACAGCAUUUUUAAACACACUCUGUUUAGUCUCAGGGUGUAUCUCACCAGAAAAGGGAGCAAUAAAUAAAUAAAUACAUAAAUAAAUUAAUUAAUAACUGGCCACACA